AUUGAACGCUGGCGGCAUGCCUUACACAUGCAAGUCGAACGGCAGCGGACCUUCGGGUGCCGGCGAGUGGCGAACGGGUGAGUAAUGCAUCGGAACGUGCCAUUGAGUGGGGGAUAACGUAGCGAAAGUUGCGCUAAUACCGCAUAUUCUGUGAGCAGGAAAGCAGGGGACCGCAAGGCCUUGCGCUCUUUGAGCGGCCGAUGUCAGAUUAGCUAGUUGGUGAGGUAACGGCUUACCAAGGCGACGAUCUGUAGCGGGUCUGAGAGGAUGAUCCGCCACACUGGAACUGAGACACGGUCCAGACUCCUACGGGAGGCAGCAGUGGGGAAUUUUGGACAAUGGGGGGCAACCCUGAUCCAGCCAUGCCGCGUGAGUGAAGAAGGCCUC
RNAcentral lists this ribosomal RNA (387 nucleotides) under uncultured bacterium. RNAcentral describes it as "bacterial SSU rRNA". It matches the Rfam family "Bacterial small subunit ribosomal RNA", at positions 30 to 418 of the family's 1533-position model. The record is from RNAcentral.